Molecule: ribosomal RNA, 462 nt
Filed under: uncultured bacterium
Lineage: Bacteria
Description: partial 16S ribosomal RNA
Rfam family: Bacterial small subunit ribosomal RNA
Source: RNAcentral
CCUACGGGAGGCAGCAGUGAGGAAUAUUGGUCAAUGGACGCAAGUCUGAACCAGCCAAGUAGCGUGCAGGAUGACGGCCCUCCGGGUUGUAAACUGCUUUUAGUUGGGAAUAAAAGGGGGCUCGUGAGCCCCGUAUUGUAUGUACCAUCAGAAAAAGGACCGGCUAAUUCCGUGCCAGCAGCCGCGGUAAUAGGGAAGGUCCGGGCGUUAUCCGGAUUUAUGUGGUUUAAAGGGAGCGUAGGCCGGCUUUUAAGUCAGCUGUGAAAGUCAGCGGCUCAACCGUGGAAUUGCAGUUGAAACUGGCAGUGAUGGGUACAGUUGAGGUAGGCGGAAUUCGUGGUGUAGCGGUGAAAUGCUUAGAUAUCACGAAGAACCCCGAUUGCGAAGGCAGCUUACUAAACUGUGACUGACAUUGAUGCUCGAAAGUGUGGGUAUCAAACAGGAUUAGAUACCCCGGUAGUC